RNAcentral lists this ribosomal RNA (429 nucleotides) under Actinomycetes bacterium. RNAcentral describes it as "Actinobacteria bacterium partial 16S ribosomal RNA". It matches the Rfam family "Bacterial small subunit ribosomal RNA", at positions 355 to 776 of the family's 1533-position model. Lineage: Bacteria; Bacillati; Actinomycetota; Actinomycetes. The record is from RNAcentral.
UAGGGAAUCUUCCGCAAUGGGCGAAAGCCUGACGGAGCAACGCCGCGUGAGUGAUGAAGGUCUUCGGAUCGUAAAACUCUGUUAUUAGGGAAGAACAAAUGCGUAAGUAACUAUGCACGUCUUGAUGGUACCUAAUCAGAAAGCCACGGCUAACUACGUGCCAGCAGCCGCGGUAAUACGUAGGUGGCAAGCGUUAUCCGGAAUUAUUGGGCGUAAAGCGCGCGUAGGCGGUUUUUUAAGACUGAUGUGAAAGCCCACGGCUCAACCGGGGAGGGUCAUUGGAAACUGGAAAACUUGAGUGCAGAAGAGGAAAGUGGAAUUCCAUGUGUAGCAGUGAAAUGCGCAGAGAUGUGGAGGAACACCAGUGGCGAAGGCGACUUUCUGGUCUGUAACUGACGCUGAUGUGCGAAAGCGGGGGGAUCAAACAGG